AUGCACUGGGUUGACUGGGAUACACUCGCAUCGGCUAAAGUUGGGGGAGGCAUGGGCUUUCGCAACCUUGAGAUCUUCAAUUUGGCCAUGCUAGGCAAACAUGGCUGGAGAUUGACAACAAGUCCGGGCUCUCUCUGUGCCCGCGUGUUGAAAGGGAGGUACUUCCCGUCCUCUGAUUUUAUGCAGGCUACUGUACCGAUGGGUGCAUCAGCCACCUGGCGGGCCAUCAUUACAGGGAGAGAAGCGCUGAAUGUGGGUAUGAUUCGGCGAAUCGGAGACGGAACUUCCGUCUCGAUUUGGGUUGAUAGUUGGGUUACGAAAACAGCAGCAAACACGAUAGAAGAAGCAAUGACUAAUGAGGUAAAGUUACGUAAGGUGAUUCUGCGGAAAUAUAAAGUAGCUCCAUGA
RNAcentral lists this ribosomal RNA (408 nucleotides) under Triticum aestivum (bread wheat). Its description in RNAcentral is "partial small subunit ribosomal RNA". The record is from RNAcentral. Lineage: Eukaryota; Viridiplantae; Streptophyta; Magnoliopsida; Poales; Poaceae.